This 708-nucleotide ribosomal RNA is filed under the name Bacillus sp. W029. Its description in RNAcentral is "SSU rRNA". It matches the Rfam family "Bacterial small subunit ribosomal RNA", at positions 29 to 719 of the family's 1533-position model. Lineage: Bacteria; Bacillati; Bacillota; Bacilli; Caryophanales; Bacillaceae. The record is from RNAcentral.
GCAAAGCUGGCGGCGUGCCUAAUACAUGCAAGUCGAGCGGAGAAAUGGGAGCUUGCUCCCAUUUCUCAGCGGCGGACGGGUGAGUAACACGUGGGCAACCUGCCCUACAGACUGGGAUAACUCCGGGAAACCGGAGCUAAUACCGGGUAAUACAUAGCAUCGCAUGAUGCAACGUUGAAAGUUGGCCUNUGGCUAACACUGUAGGAUGGGCCCGCGGCGCAUUAGCUAGUUGGUAAGGUAACGGCUUACCAAGGCCACGAUGCGUAGCCGACCUGAGAGGGUGAUCGGCCACACUGGGACUGAGACACGGCCCAGACUCCUACGGGAGGCAGCAGUAGGGAAUCUUCCGCAAUGGACGAAAGUCUGACGGAGCAACGCCGCGUGAGUGACGAAGGCCUUCGGGUCGUAAAGCUCUGUUGUUAGGGAAGAACAAGUACCGUUCGAAUAGGGCGGUACCUUGACGGUACCUAACCAGAAAGCCACGGCUAACUACGUGCCAGCAGCCGCGGUAAUACGUAGGUGGCAAGCGUUGUCCGGAAUUAUUGGGCGUAAAGCGCGCGCAGGCGGUCUCUUAAGUCUGAUGUGAAAGCCCACGGCUCAACCGUGGAGGGCCAUUGGAAACUGGGGGACUUGAGUGCAGAAGAAGAGAGUGGAAUUCCACGUGUAGCGGUGAAAUGCGUAGAUAUGUGGAGGAACACCAGUGGCGAA